AAAUGCGAUAAGUAAUGUGAAUUGCAGAAUUCAGUGAAUCAUCGAAUCUUUGAACGCACCUUGCGCUCCUUGGUAUUCCUUGGAGCAUGCCUGUUUGAGUAUCAUGAAAUCUUCAAAGUAAAUCUUUUGUUAACUCAAUUGGUUUCUACUUUGGUAUUGGAGGUCUUUGCAGCUUCACACCUGCUCCUCUUUGUUCAUUCACUGGAUCUCAGUGUUAUGCUUGGUUCCACUCGGCGUGAUAAGUUAUCUAUCGCUGAGGACACUGUAAAAGGUGGCCAAGGUAAAUGCAGAUGAACCGCUUCUAAUAGUCCAUUGACUUGGACAAUACUUUUAUGAUCUGAUCUCAAAUCAGGUAGGACUACCCGCUGAACUUAAGC
Molecule: unclassified non-coding RNA, 377 nt
Filed under: plant metagenome
Description: partial contains 5.8S ribosomal RNA, internal transcribed spacer 2, and large subunit ribosomal RNA
Rfam family: 5.8S ribosomal RNA (bases 1-104)
Source: RNAcentral